Non-coding RNA from Salvia hispanica, 3220 nucleotides. Lineage: Eukaryota; Viridiplantae; Streptophyta; Magnoliopsida; Lamiales; Lamiaceae. The record is from RefSeq and is a predicted model, not a curated record.
CUUUACCAUUCUCAUUGCACCACACCACCACCACCACCUACCGCCGUGACCAACUCCUCCCUCUUCACCACCACUUAGUAAGUCAGCUGUGUUUGAUCAUUCAUAUUUUCAAUCGGGUGAUGGCGGCUUAUGGUGCAGCCACUUCUCUCAAGAUUACGAUUCUAAGUAUUCCCCAAUCGUCUCGCGUUUCGCUGGCUCCUCCCCCUCCAAUAAUCUCACAGUUCGCCUCUUCCUGUUUUGCCAUGUUUGAUAGUCCAUUUCUCAAAGGGUCGAUGGCGGCCUUUCUUCUCAAGAUUACUAUUCAGCGCUCGUCUCAAACUUCGUUGCUUCCACAAAUGUCUCGUGUGAUCGCAGCUUAUGUUGGGGCGAGUUUCCUCAAGCGUAAGAUUCAGGGUAUUCUACCGCCCUCUCCCUCUGCAAAUAUCUUACUCCCGGCCUACCUCGCCGUGUGUCGCUUGCAGAGAGUCCUGCUAAAGUUGGACGACACCGGCUGCAGCAAGAUCCGGACGAAAGUGAAUGCUUUGGAUGACCGGAUCAAAGAGGUCAUAUGGGAAUUCGAAGAUUUACUGGAAUCCCAUUUCUAUAAUCAGAUUCUUCCACAGCUCGAGAGCGACAGAGGUCGCUUGUCUUACUCUAUAGAUCUGCAGAGUCUGCGUCAGAGUGUCGACUACUUCGUGGAGAGGGUGACAGAGAUGGCGGCAGAGUACAUUGUUGAACUGGCGAAUAUGCCUGAAGAAGAAGGCGAACCUCUUUCCUCAAGGAUUGAUUUUAGCGGAAUCAAUUCAAAGAUGGUUGGAUUAUCUAAUCAGUUUGACGAGGCCAAGAAUGGUCUUCUUCUUCCACAAGGUGAAAGGAAUUGGCUAUUAGUAACUGGGAUGGUGGGGAUUGGAAAGACAACUCUAGCGAAGAAAGUUUUCGAUGAUGCAUACAUUCAGAGACAUUUCGAGCUUCGAGCAUGGGUCAGAGUGGGCAGAAAAUGUGAAUCCAAUGAAACAUUAAGAUGCAUUCUAGCUCAGGUGGAUCCCAACAACCACUAUCUAAUGCUUGAUGAUGACUACCACCAAUUAGUUGGAUUCUUGAAAAUGAUACUGUGGGGUAAGAAAUGUCUCAUUGUGUUGGAUGAUGUAUGGGAAUGGGACGCACGAUUAAUGGGUCACUUGCCACGAGAGAAUGUUCAAGUCCUCAUCACAAGCAGGCUAAAAAUUAAAGAGUCUCCAGUUUUAACACUAGGCUUGUUAAAUGAAGAACAAAGUAAGAAAUUACUUGGUGAGCAGGUGUUCGGUGAAGACGGUUUUCCUCCUCACCUUGAGGAACUGGGAGAGGAGAUUGCGAAAAAAUGUGAAGGUCUCCCGCUUAUGAUAGUCACAGUAGCUGAGUUCCUAUCCAAAGAAGACCAGACCACUGAAAACUGGACGGAGAUUGUUAGAACACAACAUAAUUCCGUCUUCGUGGGUGCAUAUAAUCAAAUCUCCGAGGUGUUUUUCCCAAGCUAUGAUUACUUACCUCAAUAUUUUAAAAUGCUCUUUUUAUAUAUGGGAGCUAGCCCUCCAUAUAGUGCUGUUGAUGUAGACAACAUUGUCCAUCAAUUACAUGCCGAGGGGUUUCUUGAACCGAAUUUGGGAGAAAACAGUGUGGAAGAGUUUAUUUCCAAAUGCUUUGCUGAGUUUCUUUAUAGGUAUCAUCUAGUUCGACGAAAGGAGUAUCCGUGGAAAGGGAUACGCGUUCAUUCUUGUUGGAAGUACAUGAGUAGAAAAGAAGCCAGUAAGAUCAAGUUUUUACAUGUUUUACAAAGUUGUGAUGAUGAUAUGAAAGACCAACGUCGAUUGUGUGCUCAUUGCAAUACUUUAUUUGCCUUCAGACAAGUGUGUGAUUCAAUAAAAAGUGAUUGCUCAUCCAUAUCCCGUUCUCUCCUCUGUUUUGGUCCCUACCACCAAUAUCCUGUGCCUAUUCAUACCAUGGGUUUCAAGUUGCUUAGGUUACUAGAUGCUGUUACAGUCCGAUUUUAUCAUAUCCCACUUGAAAUUAUGAAGAUGAUUAGUCUAAAGUACCUUGCUCUAACUUGCAAUGGGGAGCUCCCUACUUCCAUAGCCAACCUUUUUCAGCUUCAAUCAUUGACUAUCGGACAGCAUACGAACAUUAAAAAGCGUGGGGUUCACUCAUAUAUGCCAUUGGAAAUAUGGGAUAUGCAAGAACUGCACCGUAUUGAAAUCUCAGGAAGAGACCUACCAACUCCUAAUUCAGAUGCUACUUUGGACAAACUCAUCGUUCUUCGUGGUGUGAGUCCGAAGAGUUGCACUAGGGAUAUUCUCAAAAGAAUUCCAAUUUUAAGAGAUUUAACUAUUCAACUGGAGUUGAAGCCUUAUGAAGAUGACGAUGAUAGAAACCCAUUGAGUGGCUUGGAUUAUUUUGCAGAAGAACUUCAGAAUUUAGAGUGUCUUAAAUGUAUAGUACAGAAUCCUGAUAUGAAGUACGAGCUUAUGGUUCCUUUGUCAAUGUUUCCAUCAUGCCUGCUAACAUUGGAGUUAAGUGGCAUAGGGUGUCCAUGGAAUCACAUUAGUGACAUUGGUUUGCUUCUACCAAAUCUUGUGUUUCUCCAUAUAUAUGACUAUGCCUUUCGCGGUCCAGAGUGGUAUAUAAAAUCACAAUGUUUUCCCAAUCUUGAGACACUUGUGAUUAAAGAUACUGAUUUGGUGCGAUGGAGAGCUCAACCUGGAAGCCUCCCAAGGCUUGACAACCUAAGCUUUUGCGAUUGCUACAGACUACAACAACUUGAUUGGACGCGUGAUCCAUCAAUGGACAGAACUUCAAUUUUUUUAAUUGACUGCAAUCCGUUAGCUAUCUCUUCUGCCAUGCAAUUACCGAGAUGUCGAGUUCUUACACACUCUACGUUUUGAGAUCGGAAUUUGUAUCCGAACUCUCAACUUGGAUAACAGGACUUGGAAGCUCAACAUAAGGACAAAGUUUAUAUGGUUAAUGAGAGAGCGAAAAUGGGCAGAGGCCGCCGUGUUGCCCUGUCAUUUCAAUUGUAUUACAAUGUUGUUUCUUGAAUUGAAAGAUAUUGAUUGGCUAUAUUUGGUCAAGGAUUAUGAAGUAUGAUGCUGAAUUAUGUUUGUAACAGAAACUGUUGUCAGUUUGAUUCCUUUGUGUGUGUGAAAACAUUGCUUGCAUCUUUUUUAUUUCAAGGAUUAUAUAUAUGUCCUUUAUGCAACUAUGCAUGAUU